This 188-nucleotide ribosomal RNA is filed under the name uncultured soil bacterium. RNAcentral's name for it is "partial 16S ribosomal RNA". It matches the Rfam family "Bacterial small subunit ribosomal RNA", at positions 26 to 224 of the family's 1533-position model. The record is from RNAcentral.
AGAUUGAACGCUGGCGGCAUGCCUUACACAUGCAAGUCGAACGGCAGCACGGGAGCAAUCCUGGUGGCGAGUGGCGAACGGGUGAGUAAUAUAUCGGAACGUGCCCAGUCGUGGGGAUAACGCAGCGAAAGCUGUGCUAAUACCGCAUACGAUCUAUGGAUGAAAGCGGGGGAUCGACGAACGACCGU